Molecule: ribosomal RNA, 492 nt
Filed under: uncultured bacterium
Lineage: Bacteria
Description: partial 16S ribosomal RNA
Rfam family: Bacterial small subunit ribosomal RNA
Source: RNAcentral
AGUGAACGCUGGCGGUAGGCCUAACACAUGCAAGUCGAACGGCAGCACAGUAAGAGCUUGCUCUUACGGGUGGCGAGUGGCGGACGGGUGAGGAAUACAUCGGAAUCUACUUUUUCGUGGGGGAUAACGUAGGGAAACUUACGCUAAUACCGCAUACGACCUACGGGUGAAAGCAGCGGAUCUUCGGACCUUGCGCGAUUGAAUGAGCCGAUGUCGGAUUAGCUAGUUGGCGGGGUAAAGGCCCACCAAGGCGACGAUCCGUAGCUGGUCUGAGAGGAUGAUCAGCCACACUGGAACUGAGACACGGUCCAGACUCCUACGGGAGGCAGCAGUGGGGAAUAUUGGACAAUGGGCGCAAGCCUGAUCCAGCCAUACCGCGUGGGUGAAGAAGGCCUUCGGGUUGUAAAGCCCUUUUGUUGGGAAAGAAAAGCAGCAGGUUAAUACCCCGCUGUUCUGACGGUACCCAAAGAAUAAGCACCGGCUAACUUCGUG